UCUUAAGCACUAUUCAUCAUCAUUUUUUAUUUUGAUUCAGGUUGACUAUUUUCUAUCUUCGGUUCUGAAAUAUGUAAAUAUGUUAAUGGACAUAUUUACCCAUAUAUACCUUAUACAUGGAUAUUUAAAGUUAGUCAUUUCAUAUGUUCACGUUCUCAAAGCGUGAUCACGGCUUAUCUUUCCUUAGUAUGUACCAUAAGGCGCCAGACAGGCAUUCAAAACCGGGGCCAACACAGCUACAGACUACAGGCAAGUGACGCGAGAAGACCAGUGAUUUUAGAAUGGAAUUCCACUGAAGUAGCAUUUGUCGAUCCUUCUAUCUUCAAUACCAGUUUAAACAGAAUUCAAUGAUAAAGAUAGAUAAAAUUUUUCUCAGUACGGAGCAAGAAAAAGAAAAUGAUUAAAAAAUAAAACCCAUUACAUUUAAAAAUGAAGAAUGUAGGGUCAAUUGGCUCAAUUGCCAACUCAAUGAAACUUAUUUGAAUUAAAAAAGUCCAAAUUCAACGCAAUGUCUGAGCUGAUUCCGGCAGAUGUAAAUCUUCUUAACUUUCAAAUUCUAGGAAUGAGUAAAAUACUUUUAAACAUUAUUAUUUUAACUAUUUAAUGUUAAUUUUAAAAACUUUCACAUAUGCCGCUCCUGGUUUUUUUGUUAUUUAAUUCCGCGCGUGGCAACAGCGUACAUUCGAUAGUGUAAUAGAGACAGCACCAACAAACGGGAAUGAGUGAUAAAAAAGGAAGAUACCAACAAAGUCCCCUUGUAUAGCUUGUAAAUUGUAAAUACAAAACCCACGUUCUUUGUAUAAAGGGGCUUCAGUCAUCUACCAAAAUAUAUUUUUAAAGUUUUUAAAUCGUAAAGUUCAAGAUUUUUUAAUCUUAUCGUCAGUACAUAUUUCAGUUUGUAUAUUUUUUACUUUUUUCUUGAUUAUGAGGCAACCAUCUGUUUUAACUGGAGCAUUGGUUAACACUAAUUAAACAUUUGCCGAUUGAUAAGCUAAAUAUUUUGAAAUAUUUGGUUGUAAAUUCUUCAACCAGCAACAAGAUAACCGAUAAAUAGAUAACAAAAAUAGAAGGUGAGAUUUUAUUUAAAUGGUAUAAGUGUUAUUACUUAAAAAAUAAUAUGAGAACAUACCCUUCAGAUGAACUCAAAUCCAAACAGUUGUGAGUAUAUAAUAAAUAAAUUGUAAAACACUUUUAAAAUAAUAAACAAAACUAAAAUAAAUUUAAAAUUUUAAGUCAAUAUAAAAGCAUGAUUGAGUAAAAUAAUAAAUUUGCUUAAUUUUGCAGAUGAUAAUAAGAUAAAAACUAAAAACGUUUCACACUAAUAAAUGAAACGCCUUCAUCAGUUAAGUUUGUGAUUUUCAAAUUCGCACAUUUCACUUUGUUUAACUUAGGAAUGGUAUGCUGGGUAGAUGGUAAAUGCUAUUCGGUUGUAAUGGCGUCGAAUAAAGGUGCAAUCCAGAGUUUUUCAGUUCCACUUAGCUUUUCUUUAGCUGUUACCUAUACAGUAUGCCGUAGUCAGCCACCAGAACAGCUGCCAAGACAACCAGCAUACACUGUUCAACAAUGCCGUCUUUCCCCACUAUUGUUGAUAUUAAAUUUUUUAUUUAUAUGUGUACAGAUAAUAUAUUAUAUUAUAUUGUACUGAUAAAUAAAAGAGAACGUUUUAUUUUAA
Long non-coding RNA from Cotesia glomerata, 1672 nucleotides. RefSeq lists it as uncharacterized. Lineage: Eukaryota; Metazoa; Arthropoda; Insecta; Hymenoptera; Braconidae. The transcript is spliced from 3 exons. The record is from RefSeq and is a predicted model, not a curated record.